RNAcentral lists this ribosomal RNA (513 nucleotides) under uncultured bacterium. RNAcentral describes it as "partial 16S ribosomal RNA". It matches the Rfam family "Bacterial small subunit ribosomal RNA", at positions 28 to 523 of the family's 1533-position model. The record is from RNAcentral.
GACGAACGCUGGCGGCGUGCCUAACACAUGCAAGUCGAACGGAAAGUUAGCAAUAACUUUAGUGGCGAACGGGUGAGUAACGCGUGGGCAACCUGCCCUUCAGACGGGGACAACAUUCCGAAAGGAGUGCUAAUACCGGAUACGACCUUUAGACCGCAUGGUUUAAAGAAGAAAGGUGGCCUCGAUUUAUAAGCUACCGCUGAAGGAUGGGCCUGCGUCUGAUUAGCUAGUUGGUGGGGUAAAGGCCUACCAAGGCGACGAUCAGUAGCCGGUCUGAGAGGAUGAACGGCCACACUGGGACUGAGACACGGCCCAGACUCCUACGGGAGGCAGCAGUGGGGAAUCUUCCGCAAUGGGCGAAAGCCUGACGGAGCAACGCCGCGUGAGUGAAGAAGGUCUUCGGAUUGUAAAGCUCUGUUUAAAGGGACGAAUGGCAGAUCUGUGAAUAAUGAAUUUGCAUGACGGUACCCAAAGAAUAAGCACCGGCUAACUUCGUGCCAGCCGCCGCCGUAA